RNAcentral lists this ribosomal RNA (603 nucleotides) under uncultured bacterium. RNAcentral describes it as "bacterial SSU rRNA". The stretch from base 1 to 520 matches the Rfam family "Bacterial small subunit ribosomal RNA", at positions 338 to 873 of the family's 1533-position model. The record is from RNAcentral.
CCUACGGGAGGCAGCAGCAAGGAAUUUUGCGCAAUGGACGAAAGUCUGACGCAGCAACGCCGCGUGGGGGAUGAAGGCCUUCGGGUUGUAAACCCCUUUUGCGAGGGAAGAAGAUCUGACGGUACCUCGCGAAUAAGCCACGGCUAACUACGUGCCAGCAGCCGCGGUAAUACGUAGGUGGCAAGCGUUGUCCGGAUUUACUGGGCGUAAAGCGCGCGCAGGCGGACUGGUUAGUCCGGGGUGAAAUCUCACGGCUCAACCGUGAGCGGUCCCCGGAUACUGCCAGCCUUGAGGGGUCUAGAGGAGAGCGGAAUUCCCGGUGUAGUGGUGGAAUGCGUAGAUAUCGGGAAGAACACCAGUGGCGAAAGCGGCUCUCUGGGGACCAUCUGACGCUGAGGCGCGAAAGCGUGGGGAGCGAACCGGAUUAGAUACCCGGGUAGUCCACGCCGUAAACGAUGAGUACUAGCUGUCGGGGGUAUCGACCCUCCGGUAGCGCAGCUACGACGAUAAGUACUCCGCCGUCGGGACGUACGACCGCGAACGUUAAACGUACAAGAAGUAGACGGCGUGAGACGUCGCCGACGGACGACGACGAGGGAGAGG